Molecule: non-coding RNA, 72 nt
Organism: Lipotes vexillifer (Yangtze River dolphin)
Lineage: Eukaryota; Metazoa; Chordata; Mammalia; Artiodactyla; Lipotidae
Source: the annotation of a RefSeq genome assembly
UCCCUGAUGGUCCAGUGGUUAGGAUCCGGCCCUUUCACUGCCGUGGCCCGGGUUCAAACCCUGGUCGGGGAA